This 222-nucleotide long non-coding RNA is filed under the name Elaeis guineensis (African oil palm). RNAcentral describes it as "long non-coding RNA (EGUI_LNC051063)". Lineage: Eukaryota; Viridiplantae; Streptophyta; Magnoliopsida; Arecales; Arecaceae. The record is from RNAcentral.
AAGAGCCUCUUGGACACUUCAAAUCAUACAGUAUGGCUUCACUCAUCAUACAACUUUUUUAAGUGAGUGAUCAUGGCCCGAACAGUGGGCAUAUACUCGUGCUAGCUUUACAGCUCGUUUGACAUGGAUGCCAGCACAUAGCACUUGAUCCGACUGUCUUCAUCUAUUUACUUUUCAAAAGUAGUUUUUUGCUCAGCAGUAGGACAGUUUGGUAGCACCACA